RNAcentral lists this signal recognition particle RNA (100 nucleotides) under Eubacteriales Family XIII. Incertae Sedis bacterium. Its description in RNAcentral is "signal recognition particle sRNA small type". It matches the Rfam family "Bacterial small signal recognition particle RNA". Rfam says of the family: The signal recognition particle (SRP) is a universally conserved ribonucleoprotein involved in the co-translational targeting of proteins to membranes. Archaeal SRP consists of a 7S RNA and homologues of the eukaryotic SRP19 and SRP54 proteins. In most bacteria, the SRP consists of a 4.5S RNA and the Ffh protein (a homologue of the eukaryotic SRP54 protein). The record is from RNAcentral. Lineage: Bacteria; Bacillati; Bacillota; Clostridia; Peptostreptococcales; Anaerovoracaceae.
GGCCGGGUCCCGCGCAAUGGGAACCUGUGAACCUCGUCAGGUCCGGAAGGAAGCAGCGAUAAGCAGGGAAUCCCAUGUGCCGCGGGCGCACCCGGUCCUG